GAGGGGCAGCGGGGAGGAAGCUUGCUUUCUCCGCCGGCGACCGGCGCACGGGUGAGUAACACGUAUGCAACCUGCCCCUGUCAGGGGGACAACCCGCCGAAAGGCGGGCUAAACCCGCGUACAUGCCACCGGGGCAUCCCGGAGGCAGGAAAGGCUUCGGCCGGACAGGGAUGGGCAUGCGGCGCAUUAGGCAGUAGGCGGGGUAACGGCCCACCUAACCGACGAUGCGUAGGGGUUCUGAGAGGAAGGUCCCCCACACUGGUACUGAGACACGGACCAGACUCCUACGGGAGGCAGCAGUGAGGAAUAUUGGUCAAUGGUCGGGAGACUGAACCAGCCAAGCCGCGUGAGGGAGGAAGGUACAGAGUAUCGUAAACCUCUUUUGUCAGGGAACAAAGGCGGGGACGUGUCCCCGGAUGAGUGUACCUGAAGAAAAAGCAUCGGCUAACUCCGUGCCAGCAGCCGCGGUAAUACGGAGGAUGCGAGCGUUAUCCGGAUUUAUUGGGUUUAAAGGGUGCGCAGGCGGUCAGUUAAGUCAGCGGUCAAAGCCCGGGGCUCAACCCCGGCCCGCCGUUGAAACUGGCAGUCUCGAGUUGGA
This 598-nucleotide ribosomal RNA is filed under the name uncultured bacterium. RNAcentral's name for it is "bacterial SSU rRNA". It matches the Rfam family "Bacterial small subunit ribosomal RNA", at positions 64 to 651 of the family's 1533-position model. The record is from RNAcentral.